Molecule: ribosomal RNA, 406 nt
Filed under: uncultured bacterium
Lineage: Bacteria
Description: partial 16S ribosomal RNA
Rfam family: Bacterial small subunit ribosomal RNA
Source: RNAcentral
AUUGAACGCUGGCGGCAGGCCUAACACAUGCAAGUCGAACGAGUGGCGGACGGGUGAGUAAUGUCUGGGAAACUGCCCGAUGGAGGGGGAUAACUACUGGAAACGGUAGCUAAUACCGCAUACCAUCGGAUGUGCCCAGAUGGGAUUAGCUAGUAGGUGGGGUACAGGCUCACCUAGGCGACGAUCCCUAGCUGGUCUGAGAGGCUGACCAUCCAAACUGGAACGGGGACAAGGUCCAGCCUCCGACGGGAGGCAGCAGUGGGGAAUAUUGGACAAGGAGCGAAAGCCUGAUCCGGCCGUGCCGCGUGUGUGAAGAAGGUCUUCGGAUUGUAAAGCACUUUAAGUUGGGAGACGUUACCAACAGAAUAAGCACAGGCUAACUUGGUGCCAGCAGCCGCGGUAAUAC